GACGAACGCUGGCGGCGUGCUUAACACAUGCAAGUCGAACGGGGCGAAGUGAUAGCUUGCUAUUAUGGAGCCUAGUGGCAAACGGGUGAGUAACGCGUAGGCAACCUGCCCUUCAGAUGGGGACAACACCUCGAAAGGGGUGCUAAUACCGAAUGACGUUUCCUGGUCGCAUGACCUGGAAACCAAAGGCCGGGCAACCGGUCACUGAAGGAUGGGCCUGCGUCUGAUUAGCUAGUUGGUGGGGUAACGGCCCACCAAGGCGACGAUCAGUAGCCGGUCUGAGAGGAUGAACGGCCACAUUGGGACUGAGACACGGCCCAAACUCCUACGGGAGGCAGCAGUGGGAAUCUUCCGCAAUGGGCGCAAGCCUGACGGAGCAACGCCGCGUGAGUGAAGAAGGUUUUCGGAUCGUAAAGCUCUGUUGAGAGGGACCGAGAGAUUAUAAUCAGGAAAUGGGUUAUAGAGGACGGUA
This 472-nucleotide ribosomal RNA is filed under the name uncultured bacterium. RNAcentral describes it as "bacterial SSU rRNA". It matches the Rfam family "Bacterial small subunit ribosomal RNA", at positions 28 to 477 of the family's 1533-position model. The record is from RNAcentral.